RNAcentral lists this long non-coding RNA (1113 nucleotides) under Heterocephalus glaber (naked mole-rat). RNAcentral's name for it is "lncRNA (ENSHGLG00000035013.1)". The record is from RNAcentral. Lineage: Eukaryota; Metazoa; Chordata; Mammalia; Rodentia; Bathyergidae.
CCCUGGCCCGCUUGUAAAUUGCUUAUGGGUGACUGUAAGACCGAGGGCCUUACCAAACGCUCCGAGGAGCUGACUGCAGCGAAGAACACCCAGGAAGGAACACACCGGACAAGUUGGAAAGCUAGUGAUGUGUCAUACAAUACUCUCUUUUGAUAUGGAGGCAGCUACAGUGAACCACAGUUCCCAGUUGGCCACACCAUCAUGAUCAUGUGGGUCAACAACUGACACUCUGCAACAUACUGUGUUGCCAACUCUUUUUGGAUACAGCUCCUGUCUUCAUUCUUUGCUUCCUGGCUGCCAUGAUGUGAGCAGUGUUCCUUUACCCAGACCCUUCCACCAUGCUGUUCCUGCCUUGGAGCCAGCCUACCAGGGAUUUUAACUGGGAGACUGAGAUAAGGGAAAUGGACGACUUAAUCUGAUAGAGAAACUUUAAGACAGCCCAGUGUUGAGGGUGUGGUAUAUAUUGAAAAUCAGCUGCAAAAAGCCCACUUCAAAAAGUUUAAAAUUUCACCAGACAGGAAAUGCCUGCAAAGUUGGGCCCUGAGGAAGCUGAUUGUUGAAAAGACUAGCAUUAAAAAGAAGCCAUAUAUAUUGCAUCAGAACAAUGGGAAAGAUACUUUGAGGAGAUCUCAGGAAUCAGCAAGACCCCCCCCACCCCCACCCCAGGCUCAAGGGUGCAAAAGUGAAAGACUGCUUUGAGAACAGAGCCACAGGGUUCCUCCUCAAGGAUGCCUGCCUGGGCUGGGGAUUUAGCUCAGUGGUUUCGCCACCAGCCUCGAAAGUGCAAGGACCCGAGUUUGAUCCCCAGUAUCAAAAAAAAAAAAAAAAGUUCAACAAGAAUAACUGCCUAAGGAAUUGGUUCCUCAAGUUUCAGUUUAUAGUGCUCAGCCAUCCAGGUACUCAGAGGCCUCUGUCGCCAUAAUCCAUGACCCACCUGGCAGCAGACUUUGGCAUCAUCCAUGUGGUGCUGGUUUUAUCGGUAUGCAGAAUGCAAGAGUUAGAAAUUCAAGGUUUCCAGCCAGACUUCUGAUGGAGGCCUGUAAGCCCAGGCAGUGUAACCCUGAGAGGGCAGUUUAUGAACCUGUGAGAGUGAAGCCAGAAAUGCAGUGGAGA